Molecule: ribosomal RNA, 3773 nt
Filed under: Parasitaphelenchus sp. Sugadaira1602
Lineage: Eukaryota; Metazoa; Nematoda; Chromadorea; Rhabditida; Aphelenchidae
Description: eukaryotic LSU rRNA
Rfam family: Eukaryotic small subunit ribosomal RNA (bases 1-1726)
Source: RNAcentral
AUGUCUAAGUGGAGUAUUAUACAGCGAAACUGCGAACGGCUCAUUACAACAGAUAUAAUUUACUAGUUCUUGAACCUAUAUGGAUAACUGCGGUAAUUCUGGAGCCAAUACAUGCAUCAAGCCUCGGCCUUCGGGUUUGGGGUGCAAUUAUUGGAGCAAAACCAGUCUUGAACUGUUUGCUAACUCAGGAUAAUUCUGCAUAUCGCAUGGUCUUGUACCGGCGAAGUUUCUUUCAAGUAUCUGCUUUAUCAACUAUCGUUGGUAGUUUAUUGGUCUACCAUGGUGUUGACGGGUAACGGAGAAUCAGGGUUUGACUCCGGAGAGGGAGCCUUAGAAACGGCUACCAUGUCUAAGGAUAGCAGCAGGCGCGAAAAUUACCCAAUAUCAAAACGAUGAGGUAGUGACGAGAAAUAACGAGAUCGUUCUCGAUGAGAUCGAUUAUUGGAAUGAGUACAAUCCAGAAAAUUUAACGAGUACCUACGAGAGGGCAAGUCUGGUGCCAGCAGCCGCGGUAAUUCCAGCUCUCGUAAUGUAUAGAAUUAUUGUUGCGAUUAAAAAGUUCGUAGUUGGAUUGCAACGCAGGCAUGGGUCCACCUUCGUGGUGCGUACUCAAUGUUUGCAUUUUGUUGGUUUUUGCGGCGUUGACUUGUCAGCGUUCGUGAUGCCAGCAGGAUUACUUUGAACGGCUCAAGUGCUCAAAGCGAGUCUUAUGACUGAAUACCGGUGCAUGGAAUAAUGGAACAAGGUUGUGGCCGAGUUUUAUUGGUUUUGUCGGCUGAAACAAUGGUUAACAGGAACAGCCGGGGGCAUUCGUAUCGCUGCGCGAGAGGUGAAAUUCGUGGACCGUAGCGAGACGCCCGACAGCGAAGGCAUUUGCCAAGAGUGUUUUCAUUAAUCAAGAACGAAAGUCAGAGGUUCGAAGGCGAUUAGAUACCGCUCUAGUUCUGACCGUAAACGAUGCCAACUGUCGAUCCGCUUGUGGAUUACAUUCACGGGCGGGGAGAUUUCCGGAAACGAAAGUUUUUCGGUUUCGGGGGAAGUAUGGUUGCAAAGCUGAAACUUAAAGGAAUUGACGGAAGGGCACCACCAGGAGUGGAGCUUGCGGCUUAAUUUGACUCAACACGGGAAAUCUCACCCGGCCAGUACAUCGUGAGGAUUGACAGACUGACAGCUCUUUCAUGAUUCGGUGAAUGGUGGUGCAUGGCCGUUCUUAGUUCGUGGAUUGAUUUGUCUGGUUUAUUCCGAUAACGAACGAGACUUUAACUAUUAAAUAGUGCGCUUGUUGCUUCGGCUGCGAGUGAUCACUUCUUAAAGGAAUUUGUGGUGUUUAACCUCAAGAAAUUGAGCAAUAACAGGUCUGUGAUGCCCUUAGAUGUUCGGGGCCGCACGCGUGCUACAAUGGUGGUAACAGCGUGAUUGUCCUUUUCCGACAGGAAUUGGCAAACAGUUGAGAUAUUAUUAUGGCUGGAAUUGAGUGUUGAAAUUUUCUCUCAUGAACGAGGAAUUCCAAGUAAAUGUGAGUCAUUAACUUGCAUUGAUUACGUCCCUGCCCUUUGUACACACCGCCCGUCGCUGCCCGGGACUGAGUUACUUCGAGAAAACUAGGGAUUGUUGGGGUUUGAUGUUUCGGCAUCUGCUUCGAUGCGAACUAGUUUAAUCGCAGUGGCUUGAACCGGGCAAAAGUCGUAACAAGGUAGCCGUAGGUGAACCUUCGGCUGGAUCAUUAUCGAUCAAAAACAAAAUCUGAGUGUUGGUGCUUUGGCGCUAUUCACGAAAAGUGUCACUUUCUUGGCGAGUACACUGAUGGCUUUGUUGGUUGUGCCUUUCGGGGUGCUUCCGACAGGCUGCCUCAGCCCUUUGUGGUUUUACUUAACGGCUUGGUUUGGCUUCUGUGGUUGUCUGAGCAGUUGUGUGUCACGUCCGUGGCUGCGAUGAGGACGACCGAUAGCUUGGCCCAUGUUAGAGUGUGGUCGAGUGAGAAUCAAUGACCCCGAGAGGGCGCCAAACAAACACAUUCUAUUUAUUCGUUUUCUGAAGCAAGUAACGUUAAGUUACUCCGGUGGAUCACUCGGUUCGCGGGUCGAUGAAAAACGCAGUGAAUUGCGAUAACAAGUAACGAAUUACAGAUAUUAUGAGUGCCAUGUUUUUGAAUGCAUAUUGCGCCGUUGGGUUCUGCUCUUCGGCAUAUGUGAUUCAGGGUAUGUUCACAGACAGGAGCAGUUCAGUUGUUGACGAAACCAUUGCGGUUUCUUUUUGUGAUGAACUUGCAUUCCGCCACGCAUAGGCGAUCGGCAUUUGGCUGGAAACGGUCGAACCGGUUGUUUUUCUUGUGUGCUGAGUUGGUGUCUGCGCAUCGUUUUCGGACGUUGUGUUGCCGCCUUCUCCUGGAAGGACUAUUCAAAGGUGUCUUGGUGGUCGGGUUGGGUGUUGGCGUGUGCCCGUCGGGGUGCGCGUCCGCUCGAUCCGCCGUGUCGUAUACGUCCGGCGUUUUGCAACGUCCGCGUUGUGUUGAGGUCUGUGUGCUCUUCGGUGUGCCUUUCUUGACGCAGCGCGUGUCGAAGCGGCGUCUUUUGUGUGACGGUGUACGUGAUGCGCUUUCCGCUUGGUUGGUGUGUCGUGUGCUGACGGCGCGGUUUUUGGCCGCCAACGACUCUAGUUCUAAACUACCUGAGUUACGUAUGAUUACCUGCUGAACUUAAGCAUAUCAGUAAGCAGAGGAAAAGAAACAAACAUGGAUUCCCCCAGUAACUGCGAGUGAAAAGGGAUGAGCCCAUCGCUAAAGGUUGCCGCCUGUUUGGGUGGUGACCGGUGUAGCGUAUAGAGCUUUUGUUCGGCGAUUUACAGCUGGUCUAAGUCUUGCUGGAAAGCAGUGGCGUAGACGGUUUUACCCCGGUAUGGCCGGCUGUGGUUGUCGAGUGACUGUUCUGGGAGUCGGGUUGUUUGGUAACGCAGCCCAAAGUUGGUGGUAAACUUCACCUAAGGCUAAAUAUGACCGCGAAACCGAUAGAAAACAAGUACCGUGAGGGAAAGUUGAAAAGUACUUUGAAAAGAGAGUGCAAGAGAACGUGAAACCGGUGUAAUGGAAGCGAAUGGAGCCGACGUAUCUGGUGCGUAUUCAGCCGUUGGGCGUGGUGAUUGCUGGCGUUGGCAUUCCGCAAGGUUGUCGCGUCGGUACUGUCGCUGUGUCUGGCGGUGCAUUUGCGUACGGAGUGCGCCGAGUCUUGCGGUGCUGUCGAUCGAAGCGGCUUAAGAGGACAGUUUCUUCGGACGCUGAAACCUUGGGUUGUCGAGGUCGGUUGGUGCUGCCGGAUUUUGUGGAGGCACGGGUUUUUCGUGCGGAUUCGUGGCGAUGCGCUUGGUUUGUGACGUACGCAUGCGUGCUGCGCUUACCGGUCGUGUCGUUGCGGGUUUGUGCCCUGUGCGCUUUUCGGUGUAUAGUCGGUGACCCAUUCGACCCGUCUUGAAACACGGACCAAGGAGUUUAUGGUAUACGCGAGUCAUUGGGCUCUGAAACCCAAAGGCGUAAUGAAAGUGAGUCUUUACUAGUUGGAAUGUGAUCGGUCGGGCUUUCGAGACCGGCCGAGCAACAUUGCCCCGUUUCGAGGACUUGUCCUGAUGCGGAGGUUGAGCGUAUGCUAUGAGACCCGAAAGAUGGUGAACUAUGCCUGAACAGGAUGAAGCCAGAGGAAACUCUGGUGGAAGUCCGAAGCGGUUCUGACGUGCAAAUCGAUCGUCUGAUUUUGGUAUAGGGGCGCAAGACUAAUCGAACCAUC